Molecule: ribosomal RNA, 245 nt
Filed under: uncultured bacterium
Lineage: Bacteria
Description: partial small subunit ribosomal RNA
Rfam family: Bacterial small subunit ribosomal RNA
Source: RNAcentral
AGAAUCAACGCUGGCGGCGUGCCUAACACAUGCAAGUCGAACGAGAAAGUGGAGCAACCCAUGAGUAAAGUGGCGCACGGGUGAGUAACACGUGACUAACCUACCCUUGAGUGGGGGAUAACCUAGAGAAAUCUGGGCUAAUACCGCAUAAUACCUUCGGGUCAAAGGAGCAAUUCGCUUAAGGAGGGGGUCGCGGCCGAUUAGUUAGUUGGCGGGGUAAUGGCCCACCAAGACUGUGAUCGGUA